Molecule: ribosomal RNA, 395 nt
Filed under: Listeria monocytogenes
Lineage: Bacteria; Bacillati; Bacillota; Bacilli; Caryophanales; Listeriaceae
Description: bacterial SSU rRNA
Rfam family: Bacterial small subunit ribosomal RNA
Source: RNAcentral
CCGACCUGAGAGGGUGAUCGGCCACACUGGGACUGAGACACGGCCCAGACUCCUACGGGAGGCAGCAGUAGGGAAUCUUCCGCAAUGGACGAAAGUCUGACGGAGCAACGCCGCGUGUAUGAAGAAGGUUUUCGGAUCGUAAAGUACUGUUGUUAGAGAAGAACAAGGAUAAGAGUAACUGCUUGUCCCUUGACGGUAUCUAACCAGAAAGCCACGGCUAACUACGUGCCAGCAGCCGCGGUAAUACGUAGGUGGCAAGCGUUGUCCGGAUUUAUUGGGCGUAAAGCGCGCGCAGGCGGUCUUUUAAGUCUGAUGUGAAAGCCCCCGGCUUAACCGGGGAGGGUCAUUGGAAACUGGAAGACUGGAGUGCAGAAGAGGAGAGUGGAAUUCCACGU